Molecule: ribosomal RNA, 433 nt
Filed under: uncultured bacterium
Lineage: Bacteria
Description: partial 16S ribosomal RNA
Rfam family: Bacterial small subunit ribosomal RNA
Source: RNAcentral
AACGAACGCUGGCGGCAUGCCUAACACAUGCAAGUCGAACGAGACCUUCGGGUCUAGUGGCGCCCGGGUGCGUAACGCGUGGGAACCUGCCCUUAGGUUCGGCAUAACUCCCCGACAGGGGUGCUAAUACCGGAUAAUGUCUUCGGCCCAAAGAUUUAUCGCCUUUGGAUGGGCCCGCGUUGGAUUAGCUCGUUGGUAGGGUAAAAGCCUACCACGGCGACGAUCCAUAGCUGGUCUGAGAGGAUGAUCAGCCACACUGGGACUGAGACACGGCCGAGACUCCUACGGGAGGGAGCAGUGGGGAAUAGUGGAAAGUGGGCGAAAGCCUGAUCCAGCAAGGCCGCGUGAGUGAUGAAGGCCUUAGGGUUGUAAAGCUAUUUUACCCGGGAGGAUAAUGACAGUACCGGGAGAAUAAGCUCCGGCUAACUCCGUG